CCGUUUAAGAAAAAAUUGAGAUCUUCUAACAAAAACGAGGAACUCACCUCCGUGGAUGCUUGAUUUCGAGUGUUUGAAGGCUUUCUGAGGAAACUUAUUCGAUUUGGGAUUUGGAGUUUUUGGCACUAAUCAGGAGUAGAGUUGAGUGGCGGAUAGUUUAGCAAGGAUCGUUGGCAAUCGCCGAUUAAUUAGCUUGUGAUAUGUCUCGUUUAUUGUGGGCAUUUGAAUAAGUUUGUAUUGUUUUUGUAAACCACUUAGUUUGUUUCUUUAUUCUAUUUUGGAUUAGGUUUUGAGGCCUUGUAUGACUACUUAGUUUCGGCCUUGUAGGUGUAAGGUCGUUUUUGUCGGUGUCCCGGGUCCGUUGAGUCAAGUUCGGGGUGUGACACAAAAAAACAGUAAAAGACAAUAAGAAACAACAAACCCAAAAAAACAAACUUCUGAGACCGUCCACCGAGGCUGGAACAAGAAUCAAAACAAAACACACCACCAUGAGUGGAGAACAGAAGAAGCUAGUAAAAGGAAAACCACGAGGCGAAUAUAGCUGAAAGAGUCCGAACACUGCCAUGCAACGGACCCUAAAGCAUCAAGUAGGUGGCUGUACUAGCCGGCGACACCAUC
Long non-coding RNA from Dioscorea cayenensis subsp. rotundata (Guinea yam), 618 nucleotides. RefSeq lists it as uncharacterized. The record is from RefSeq and is a predicted model, not a curated record. The transcript has 3 exons. Lineage: Eukaryota; Viridiplantae; Streptophyta; Magnoliopsida; Dioscoreales; Dioscoreaceae.